CGUUCCCGGGUCUUGUACACACCGCCCGUCGCACCAUGGGAGCGGGUUUUACCAGAAGUAGGUAGCUUAACCGCAAGGAGGGCGCUUACCACGGUAGGAUUCGUGACUGGGGUG
Molecule: ribosomal RNA, 114 nt
Filed under: uncultured bacterium
Lineage: Bacteria
Description: partial 16S ribosomal RNA
Rfam family: Bacterial small subunit ribosomal RNA
Source: RNAcentral